RNAcentral lists this ribosomal RNA (465 nucleotides) under uncultured bacterium. RNAcentral's name for it is "partial 16S ribosomal RNA". It matches the Rfam family "Bacterial small subunit ribosomal RNA", at positions 28 to 507 of the family's 1533-position model. The record is from RNAcentral.
GACGAACGCUGGCGGCGUGCUUAACACAUGCAAGUCGAACGGAAAGGCCCCCUUGUGGGGUACUCGAGUGGCGAACGGGUGAGUAACACGUGAGUAACCUACCCUUUACUUUGGGAUAACUUCAGGAAACUGGGGCUAAUACCGUAUAGGAGCUCCUGCUGCAUGGUGGGGGUUGGAAAGUUUCGGCGGUUGGGGAUGGACUCGCGGCUUAUCAGCUUGUUGGUGGGGUAGUGGCUCACCAAGGCUUUGACGGGUAGCCGGCCUGAGAGGGUGACCGGCCACAUUGGGACUGAGAUACGGCCCAGACUCCUACGGGAGGCAGCAGUGGGGAAUAUUGCACAAUGGGCGGAAGCCUGAUGCAGCAACGCCGCGUGCGGGAUGACGGCCUUCGGGUUGUAAACCGCUUUCGCCUGUGACGAAGCGUGAGUGACGGUAAUGGGUAAAGAAGCACCGGCUAACUACGUG